UGUAUGUUAUGAACAUUCAUUAAACAAAGAAUAUGCUUCGUUAAAACCUUAUUUGAAAAAAUCCUGCGGAAAAAUCCUAAUGAAGAAAAAAGAUUACAUUAUUCUUUUAAAUAAUUGCAAAAAUUGUCUCGUUAAAAUAAACUUUGACAAAAAAAUCCAAUGAGAAACAACCUUGGUUUAAGGAACAAAAUAGUACAACGUAUAUUCUCCAUCUUAUGAUAAUAUCACUUGAAUUAUAUGUUUCAUGCAUGAAAUCCUUCAAGGAUAGUAUUUAAACUGUUGACCUCCAAAAAUGGCUCCAAAAGGUUCCCUAACCUCGUCCCCUCGAAACCUGCGCAAGUAGCACCCGUCAAGAGUCAAAGGCUGCCGGACGAGAAAAAGGUCUGGUGACCGUUUACACUCCAACGGUCAAGUCAACGGUCGAACGGAAAUAGAUAUACAGAGUGCAAUAGUAUGGAGAUGGGGUUUGGCUAGAGAGUGUAGAACAUAACUUAGUUGUGUGAGUGAAUCCAUAUAUCUAGAGAAAUGGAAGUGAAAUGGGCCAAACGGGUUGGUGGGCCGAAGUCCAAGCCCAAUAAGGAGGUGAUCAUAUGAACAUAAUAAUAGGCACUUCGACGAGUGCCUCAACUGAACUCCUUAGGGCCUCGGUGGCGCCUCAGCUGACCUCGUCAGAGCCUCGACUUUGGGGCCCAAUAUGAAGUGGUAAUUUAUAGACGUAAUAGUAGUCCCCCAAGUUCGAGUCGUAUUAUUUAUAUGCGGGUCGGAUUUGAAAUAUAAACUGUCAAGUAGGCGAGGUCUUACAGAUUGCCUCAGAAAGAUGGGUAGCUCCAAUAAGCGAGGACUUACGAACUACCUUGAAAGAUAUACUGCAUAUAUUUUUUCAAAAUUUCGGCAGCAUCUCUCCUGUAAUAUGGACUAAACCAAUCCGGUAAUACAAAACAAUAUAUCCACAGCACAUAUACCAAAUAAAUUUGGGGUCCAUUUGUUCCUUCAAAUGCUUAUAACUAUAAGGUGUGACAUAUCACAUUUCUUCAAAAUAUAUGCAGACGGUCUAUCAUGCAUUAUAGUAAAUCAUGUGUUCGCACAGCUCAAUAUAUUAGUAGUACUAUAGUGAAGUAACAUGAUGUUGACAAUAAAAUGAAAAUGAUGAUAACACGACAUACGUACUGGCUAUGAUGAAAAUAAUGUAUGACAUGCUAGCAGUGAUAUAGCAUUCAUGCUUGGAAGCAGUAAUGUGAUGCAUAUGCUAGCAAUGAUAUGGCAUUCAUGCUUGGAAACAGUAAUGUGAUGCGUAUGCUAGCAUUAAAAUACAGUCUCCCAAGUCCGAGUCGUAUUAUUUAUAUGCGGGUUGGACUUGAAAUAUAAGCUACCGUGAUAAAGUUGAUGCAGAGGCAAUGCUCUGAUUGUAGUAGCAGAGGCAAUGCUCUGAACUGAAUAUAAGUAGCUGUACUGAUACUGAAGCAUACCGAUGUAUAUCAGCCGUUGACUUUUUAAGAUCAGCUGAGUGUAUGGUUGUAGGUUCAACUCUCUCUACCGAAACACUGACUAAUAGGACGACGCGUGGGAGAUGCUGAAACUUAUGAAGCUGAAGGUCGAGACACAUCUUCGACUGAGGAGCUGAAGAUUCGACGCUACUUGAGAAAGGAGCUCAUCUGCCACCGGUGCGCUGACCCACAGGGGAUGAUGCAUUGGGAGAUGGCUAAAGUUUUGUAAAGUUUAGGAGGGAACGCAGCCGCGAUGACCCACAGGGGACUCCGCAUUAGGUGCGUCUAAACUUUGUAAAACUGAGUGAUCUGCCACCAAUACGCUGACCCACAAGGGACGAUGCGCUGAGAGAUGGCUAAAACUUUGUAAAACUUAGGAGGGAAUGCAGCGGCCGAGGCGAUAACUCAUAGGGGACUCCACAUCAGGUGCGUCUAAGCUUUGUAAAGCUGAGGACAACAUCUAGUAAGGCAGGGGAUAGACGUCCCGCGAGUAACUCAAACUAUCGGAGCCAUAAGCAGCGUAGAGGACUUAAAACUCUACUCGACGAUAGUGAAGCGAGGAGAACACAUCUCGCGAAGCCAGGGAUAAACCUCUGGCGAAGUGUCGAACUAUUGGAGUUUUAUAAGCUAGCCUCAGGUUGACGAGGGCUUAAAGCUAAGCUCGACGAUAGCGAAGCGAGGAAAAGACAUCUUGCGAAGCCGGGGAUGAACAUCUGGUGAAGUGUUGAACUAUCGAAGUUUUAUAAGCUGGCCUCGAAUAGAAGAGGACAUAGAGCCAAGCUCCACGAUAGUGAAGCGAGAAAAGCGAAGCCAGGGAUAAACAUCCGGCAACCGUCGACUAUCGGAGUCUUAUAAGCUGGCCUCGACGAUAGUGAGGUGGAGAAUAAGCAUCCCGUGAACCCAGGAAUAAACAUCUGGCAAUGCAAGGAAUAAACAUCUCGCGCGGCCAAGAAGGGCUCCUUUUUCAAGGGCAAACACGUCUGGUGAUUUUUCUCGUCCUUUUUUCAAGGAAUGAGUACUCUAAUAUACUGCCUCUUCCGCAUCUUCCUUUAUUCAAGGAAAGAGAACUCCAAAAUUAUGAUGCCUCUUCCUUUAUACAAGGAACAAGGACUUCGAGAUAUCACCUCUUCCUUUAUUCAAGGAAUGAGGACUCCAAAAAUAUUGCCUCUUCCUUUAUUCAAAGAACGAGGUCUCCAAAAUGAUGCUUUGAUGAUAAGAUAUACACGAGCUAGGGCUCGCCUUCAAUAAAUAAGAGAAUCAUGAGCUCGGCUUCAAUAAUGCGAGGUUUUAGAGCUUGCCUCGGAUAAUGGAGAAGAUGAUAAAAAGGCUUUCAAUGAGCGAAAUUUGAGCUGGACAUUUGCAAGUGCUUGGUGCAAGCCACCAUCCAUUUACAGUAUAAUAUGGGCAAUAAUAGAUAACAACUCAUUUUCACAAAUAAAAUUAAGAUUCAUCUCCAUACUCCGAAAUUAUGCCAUGGCAGUAGGUUUUGCUUAGACAUGGAUGAUAAGAAUUAAUGGUAGAGCAAAUAGGAGUCAAUCCAAUCAAUAGUCAAAGUGGUAGCUAAUCAAGCCAUGGACAAUAUAUAUAUAUAUAUAUAUAUAUAAGUGUGAAUAAAUAGGGAUAACCCAACCAAAUAAUAAUAAAUAAUAGCCCACUAAGAAGCUUGUAGAUAGUGACCAUAAAAUCAACUUAGAGCUCACAGCUUACUGCCCAAUUUCAAAUGGAACUUCGAGAGUAGAAAAUAUAUUGCAAUGGUCUGAGAGAAGAUGGCACUAGAAAAUUAAAGUAUCAAAUGAGCCCCAAAUUUUCAUGUAAAAUAAUAGGGCCCAAGGAAAAUGAAUACANACUUAAUUUAUCUAAAUUAUUUAUUAUAUUUUCAAUAUCUUGAUUUGGUUUAUUAUGUAUAUUAUUUAAUUUUUUAUUUAUAUUUUCUAUUGCUUCUGUAGUCUUCAGAUCUGGAAAUUUUUCUUUAUCUUCUACUCUAGAAAUUUUAUUUAAAAUUGUUAUAUUUUGUUCUUUAAUAAAAUCUAAAUUUUCACAAAUUUUAUUAAUAUCUUUUUCAAUAUUAAAGAUUCUUUUUCCUAGAGUACUAAGUUCUCCAGUUAAUUUAUUAAUUUUUUUUAUUAAAAGAUCCAGUUUUAAAAUUCUAGUCUGAAUAAUAAAAAGAAUCUAAUGAAAAAUUUGUAUGAUCUGAUAAAUAAUUAUUAUCAAUAUUAUCUAAUUCAAUCCUUAAUUUUAGAUCUGAUAUAAAAAUCUGAUCAAAACUAUUUAUAAAAUAUUCUUCUCUAAAUUCUGAAAUUAAAGAUCUAUAUAAAAUCUGUUCUUUUAAUUCUAAAUGUAAAUUUUUUGUUACUUGUAAUAUAGCAAAUAAAUAAUCUAAAGAUUUAUUUUUUUCUAAAGAAACUAAUUCUAUAUCGUAUUCAAAAAUCUCUUCUAUUUCUUUAUAAAAUGUAAAACUAUAGAAUAUUUUUUCUAAAUCUAUAAGUAAUAUUCUAAAAAUCAUAAAACAAGUAAAAAUUAUAUAUAUAUAUAUAUAUAUAUAGGGAUAGCCCAACCAAAUAAUAAUAAAUAAUAGCCCACUAAAAAGCUUGUAGAUAGUGACCAAAAAAUCAACUUAGAGCUCACAGCUUACUGCCCAAUUUCAAAUGGAACUUCGAGGGUAGAAAAUAUAUUGCAAUGGUCUGAGGGAAGAUGGCACUAGAAAAUUAAAGUAUCAAAUGAGCCCAAAAUUUUCAUGUAAAAUAAUAAGGCCCAAGGAAAAUGAAUACAUAGGACCAAUAAUGCAUACCGUGUGUGGAGCUUAAUAAAAUACCUUCGAAUCAUUAUAAGAGAAAAGUCAGCAAAGUGAGGCACUGUAGUAGCUGGAUAGCCGACUGUGUACAACUCUUUUCUCUGAACACGCCGCUGUCGACACCUGGUCUUCAUCAUAUUAAAUGCUAAAAUGAUGUAAGAAAGCAAGAACUCUGCCGUGAAGUUCACUGUGAUGCCGGUAUUUCUUUGUAUUGUGUGGUGCUACUUGUUGUCGGAGGUUUACAUAACCAUGGUCGCCCAUUAAAAUCUUUUUCCAACUUCAAAAGGAGAAGAAAUCCGUGUUUGCCGUGCCUCCUUCUUUUGCUUUUGUUUUGGACUUAGACUUUCUUUCCUUCUGGACGUGGAUCUUGUGAACAGAGACUCCAUUUUUUUUUUGAGUUCAUAUGAGAAGGGAGUUAAAGUAAUUGAUUUAAGAAUAAAUCCUUUAAAAUUUCCUUUGUACGGGGAAGCAAAAGUAGAUAAUUCCAGCAAGAGGAGUAUUUUUCUUGUUUCAAACGUGAAGGCAGAACCUUCUAGGUGUGGAUGGCCAUUUCUUUCCUAAUCACCAUUCUCAUGACUUUUUUCUUCAAUUUGGGCACGAGAAACUCCACCAAAAAUUAAUUUCAGUUUGCCAAACUAUUUCCUCCCUUUCAUUAGCUGUGUUUUGUGCCGGAAAUAACCAUCGAGUUUCUUCAACCCUCUUCUAGUUACUGCCUUUUCUUCUUCAUUCUUGGUUGCUAUCUUUGCUCGUUUUUGGUAGAGAGCUGAUCGGAAAAAUUCUCCCUUUUCGAUAGCUUUUGGGAUGUAAUAUAACAUGGUUAACAUACCAUUUUACACAGACAGUGUCAAUCUGUUUACCUCCACAAAUGGCUCCAACAGGUUCCCUAGCCUCGUCCCCUCAAAACCUGCACAAGUAGCACACCGUCAAAAGGCAAAGGCGGUCAGACGAAAAAAGGGUCCUGCGAUCUUUUGCACUCCGACGAUCAAGUCAACGGCCGGACGGAGAUGGAUAUAUAGAGUGCAAUAAUAUGGAGUAAUGGUUUGAUUAGAAAGUGUAGAACAUAUCUUAGUUGUGUAAGUGAAUCCAUAUAUAUAGAGAAAUAGAAGUAAAAUGGGCCAAACGGGUUGGCGGGUCGAAGUCCAAGCUCAAUAAGGAGGUGAUCAUAUGAAUAUAAUAAUAGGCACUUUGGCGAGCGCCUCCGCUGAACUCCUUAGGGCCUCGGUGGCGCCUCGACUGGCCUCAUCAGAACCUCGACUUUGGGGCCUAAUAUGAAGUGGUAAUUUAUAGGUGUAACAAAAAUCAUAUAAGGUAAUUUGGCUAUAAUCAUAUUUACUACAUGCAUACCAAAUUGCAUGCAUUGCUAGACUAACAAGAUACUUAUAAUUGCAUCCUCCAUUAGAUAAUUUAUCUAUUUACACAAGUUUUCACUGAAUUCAAUAUGUAAAGAAUUGUACAUUUUACAUUACGAUUUUACUUUUUCUAUUUUCAUUUCGCAUAAGUAUAAAUCUUUAGGUAUUUCGACUGUAGAUCUAGAAGCUUUAUAUUUAUCUAGUAAAUUCAAUCGUGC
This 5842-nucleotide long non-coding RNA is filed under the name Olea europaea subsp. europaea. The record is from RNAcentral. Lineage: Eukaryota; Viridiplantae; Streptophyta; Magnoliopsida; Lamiales; Oleaceae.